CACACACACACACACACACACACACACACACACACACACACAGAGGAGAAGUGAGUCUGGACAGAUCAACAUGGUUCAGCUCUGCACCAACCCGCAGCUUCCUGUUCCUGCAGCGAUCUGAUUGGAGCUUUCAGGUUCUGAACCAGGAGCACAGGCCCCCCUCUGCCCCCCCUCCAGGUGAGCUCAGGUGUGUCCUUCAGCCAGUAACUUCAGGUGUUGAACUUGUUGUUCUGACCCAGAUAACGGGCCUCUUAGGCAAUGUCCCUGACUUCCCAGAAUGCACCCUGCUGCGGCAGAUUAACCCCCCAGGAAUAGUUCCUGCCCCCCAGGCAGAUUACCUGCAGCAGCUCAGUCUGGACUUGGCUCUCUAGUCAGUCCGAGUCGCUGACGGACUGGACUCGGACUGUGGCGGGUUUCCGUGACCGGUCCGGUUCAUAAGCAAACAUGGCGGUAAAUCUGAUUAACAUGGCAGCGUGCCGGGUCACCUGGUGCCGGUUCGGUCCAGGUGUUCUGACGAUCAUCUUGUUUUAAAACGGAGGAUUAGGAACACGGCUGAUCUUCCAUGAACCCGUCCACGGGUUAAAGACUGCGGCUGGAGGAGGCGGGCAACCGGUUACCAUGGCAACAGAGCGUCAGGCCCAGAUCGAUGGUUCUGUUCUGGUUCCAGUUGGGUUUUGGUUCUUUUCAUGUGUCCUGUCCAAGAAGCCAGGCAGGAUCGUCUCACUCCGACUCCCUGAAAACUUCCCAGAAUGCAGCAGAGGACGAACUGGAGCGGCACGCCGCAGUUAGCAUGUUAGCUGAUGAAGGCUGGCUUCGAGUCUUCAUCACUGAAGGCUUUCAUCCACAACUUUCACCUUCAGAAGCAGGACCAGCUGAAAACAGAGGCUGCCUGUUAGCAUGCUAACAGCUAUCAUUAGCAUGCCACGCUAACUUUAAAGCAGUUUUUUAUGUUCAUGUGUUCCUUUGCCAGCAUAAAGGACGAGUUUUAAAGUUCGUUCUGUGAAGAAUGAAAUCCAAUUAAUAACCUCGCCUUGUUAGCUUAACAUGCCAAGACUAAUGUAAUGCUAACUUUAACAUGCUAAGGCUACCUUCAGGAUGUUAAUGACUCUGAAGGUUAUAGUUAUAUAAUAAGUUUCUUUCUUUCUAAUGUUUCCUUUGAUGCUGUGAAGCAUGUUAAACUGCUAUGCUAUCCCAUGCUAUCUGAUGCUAUCUGAUGCUAUUUGAUGCUAACCAGAUGAACUCGUCUCGUAUCAAUUCAACGUCACACACCAACUGCCGAGCCUGUUUUAGCAGGAAAGGAGAUCCGACGGUUUGAACGAGAAACGGUGCAACUUCCAUGAAAGAAAAGCUUCAAAUAAGCUAACAGGCGGGUUUGGUGAGUCUUGGGUCCUGAAACCAGACAGCGGCCAUGAUGAGCUGCAGCUGAUUAUCUACUUGAUUUGACUGACAUUUACUUCCAUAACCCUCUCAUUCAACAUUACAGAACAAAUCAACAGAUGUCGUUCAUUUUCCCUAAAAGGUUUCAUGGAUGAUGAUCUUUGAGUUUCUGAAUGUUUGCCUCCAUCUGUUGCUACAGCAGUAGCAUGCUAAUGCUAAUCCUUAAUGUUAGUCUGUCAGGAUUAUUUUGUGAAGGUUUUUGCUCUAGUAAACGGCUUUGAACAGAUUUCUGAAUGAAUGGUACAAUACGGUGGUGGACACAGAUAGCUAAAAGGUUAGCUGCUCUAACCCUAAUGCACUAAUAAACUUUAGUUUAGCUAAUGCUGGACUAAUGCCAUGGCAUUUAACAGGGGCUAAAGCUAAAGCACAGACCAGCAUGGUAUUUAGCAGGAGCUAAUGCUAAAGUACUGAAUCCAAUCAUGUUGAAAUCCAGCAUGAUGAGCAGAACAUGAAGAAACUCAAACCUAUUCAUAUGUGAGCUACUGUAUUUAUCUGAAUAACAUCCUGGUUAUGUGUUCAUGUGUUUUUCUUUUAUUGUGUCUUUUUAUUGUCAAUUGCUAAAUAAAGUUUCUUGUAAAAAAGGGAACGCAACAACAGGAAGUGGAACUGCUGCAUCUAAAACUACUUCAAAAUAAGAGUUGAGUAUAAAGGUCUAACUACCCAACAGUUGAUAACCAAACCUUCAACACAGAUGUUGACCUUUAUUCAGAUGAAAUUGGACAAAACUGAAGGAAAUUUGCACUUUAGACUUUGUUACCAAAAAUGCUGAAGCACUAAAUGAAAAUCUGGUAACUAAACCUGCUAACAUUAGCCUGCUAAGGCUAACAGCCAUUAGCCUGAGAUGUUCAGGGUGUUCCAGUGGCCUGAAGCCUGAAGCUAAUUUAUAGCCACUGUUAAUAAAUCUAUAAUGGUUUUAUGUAAAUAUAUCAAAUAGUGUUGAGCAGCUUGAGCUCUGUGGAAACCACAGCAGAUCAGCUCAUAGCCGCCCUUAUAAAAAAUCCCAUCAAAGUCACAUGAGAUCACAUGAAAACCACACAUGUGGUUCACACAACGUUUUACAUGAGAUUCCCAUGUGAUCACAUGGGAAUCACGUGAUACACACAUUUCCACAUGUGGAAAUAUGUGAUAUACAUAUAUACAAUUAUAAAAUAAUGGGACCACCUUUUUUACCAUGAAAAUGUCCAGUUUCUUCAUAUUAUUCACUUUUCAUGAUGAAUAUGAGGUCACAUGUCAAUCUCAUAUGAUUUUCUAAGACAUAACUGCAAACUAAAGUAAACUUGUAGCUAUGAAUCAAGACUUCCUAGACAAGUAUAUAUGUACACAAAACAACAAUUUAUUUACUUCUGUUUGAAACUGUUGAGAACCAGAAACAACUUUUAACAUCUGAGCAUGACAUCAUACAGGUUUACGUCCAAAUUAGACCCAGACAAUAAACAUGUGGAAACCAGAAACGGGUUUAAUACCAUCAGUGCCGGUCCAGAGAGGGAAAACAGAACCUCAGGUAAAACCUGACUGGUCCUUCACGUUGUUUCAGGAGAAACUGUAGCAUUCAACUGUGAGCUCUCUGAGUCUCCUUAAUGUCUUUAAGGGUGGUUAGAACACACACACACACACACACACACACACACACACACAUGUUGGCAUUGGUGGCUUGUAUAGGGGUCUUCUUAUAUGUGCCAGUAACCACAGUGCUGUGGGUGCUGAUGCUCAGGUGGGGAGUUUUCCUUCUCCAGUGCUGAAGGUGAUGAGGUCUCUGGGUCCUGAUCUGUUGCCCCAUUCAUUCCUCAUCUGAGCUUCACUGGACCACUGGCCUCCAACAAACUGUAAAAAUUAAUAAAACAAAGCUCCUAUGAUCUGGACUACAUUUUAUUUACACACACCCACAGCAGAGUCCUACUUUUACAUCAGUGUGUAGUUGGCCAGAAUGACUCUGAUCUGCUAAAUAAAGCAGCAUAACGUGACGUUGUUUGGUGAUUAUCCUGUCAGGCUAAAAAACACUUCAGUUGAUAAAACUAUAAUUCUCUUGGCAAUUAAAUGAAAAAUCAUGCAGCGUUAAAAACAGUAACAGGUCAAUUUAUAUUUUUCUACUGGAAGAAUGUCAUCAUAAUAGCAGCUCACACAUCAUGGAGGGAGAAAUGGACAUUUUAUUAUAACGGUCCUCAAUUUUAACUUUGACUGAGUAAACAGCUGCCGUCUGUUGUUCCCUCCAUUAAAAAAUAACCGAGGUAAAGUUUAAGUAGUGAAGCAUCAAAUCCACACUAAUUUGUUUUAGGAGCUGUAGGACUCAGGAUAAAGCCUUCAAACUGUAAAAUGGGCCAGCGUUCAGCUAACGUUUAGCUAGCUUAGCAUGACUUCAGUACUAAGGAAAAGUUCACCGGUACAUCACUAUCAGUACGUGUUACUUUCCAGAUUUAUAUUUCUGUCUAAACAUUUUCGAUACACCUCGAGAUUCAAAUCAAGUAAAACAUUUCUCACCUUUUCUU
Long non-coding RNA from Xiphophorus hellerii (green swordtail), 3920 nucleotides. RefSeq lists it as uncharacterized. The transcript has 2 exons. Lineage: Eukaryota; Metazoa; Chordata; Actinopteri; Cyprinodontiformes; Poeciliidae. The record is from RefSeq and is a predicted model, not a curated record.